GGAGGGUGCAAGCGUUAUCCGGAUUUAUUGGGUUUAAAGGGUCCGUAGGCGGAUCUGUAAGUCAGUGGUGAAAUCUCACAGCUUAACUGUGAAACUGCCAUUGAUACUGCAGGUCUUGAGUGUUGUUGAAGUAGCUGGAAUAAGUAGUGUAGCGGUGAAAUGCAUAGAUAUUACUUAGAACACCAAUUGCGAAGGCAGGUUACUAAGCAACAACUGACGCUGAUGGACGAAAGCGUGGGGAGCGAACAGGAUUAGAUACCCUGGUAGUCCACGCCGUAAACGAUGCUAACUCGUUUUGGGUUUUCGGAUUCAGAGACUAAGCGAAAGUGAUAAGUUAGCCACCUGGGGAGUACGUUCGCAAGAAUG
Molecule: ribosomal RNA, 366 nt
Filed under: uncultured bacterium
Lineage: Bacteria
Description: bacterial SSU rRNA
Rfam family: Bacterial small subunit ribosomal RNA
Source: RNAcentral